GAGGAGAAAGUUGAAUUCCCUCCCCCUCUCUCCACGGGUAGCGCCACGUACUCUGGAUGGAGCAGCCCAGCAGCGCCACUAGAGGCGUUGCAGACACCGGACAGGAAGAAAAACAGCCCCAGCGGAUCACCUAGAGUCCCCCAACAGCAGGACAUUUCCCAGUUACAAAAAUACUGGCUUGGCCUUGUGAGAGGUUAAGGGCAGCAACAGUUUUAAGUAUUUCUGAACCUCGUCUCUAGGACAGAGCCCAUAACUCCUAAUAAGAACUCUGAACAGGCCUCCAAACUUCUUAUGGAGAAUUAGAGGAAAUGAUUUAGAAGUGUUUUAACAGUACUUUGCUCGUUAAAUAAUAGCUUAUACUAUUAUUUCAAUAUGAUAAUAAUGGAAAUAUUUUAAAAUAAUUUUAAAACUUUAUGGGGCUUUGCACACAUAAGAUUUUAUUGUUCUCUUAAUCACCAAAACAAAAUCUUAGUACCUCCAUCUUAAGGACAGUCCUUUGAUCUGUGAGUUUGGAGGAGCUAUAGAACUUUGCAUAUGUUAUUUCACUUAAAAUAUGCAUGUUCUGGCCCUAAAAACCAAGAAUGUAAAAUAGACUUCCAAGGAAAACUCAAUUACAGCUACAUUUUUGCCUGCCUCUGGGUAUAUGAGCUUCAAAGUCAAAAGAAAGUAAACAACAAUCUUUGGGAUCUGUAGUGAUCUAUAGAGAGACAAGGAGUUUCUGGACUUCCCUAACAGCCUGCCUGCCAGGACUAUACCCUGUUGUACUCUGUCUUAAGUAUAGUUCUAAAGAGCUGAAAGAAUGCAAAGGUCCAUAAAAGUACAAAUUAAGACAUAAGUCCUCAUCUUCGAUUGUCGAUGCCAGCCACAUUUUCCUACUGAGGAAAAUACUCAUGAAACAAAGUAAUUGGGGCACCUGCUCAGUCAGUCAAAGUGGCCAGCUUUGGCUCAGCUCAUGAUCUCAGUACCUGAGUUCAAACCUCAUAUGGGGCUCUCUGCUGUCAGCGCAGAGCCGGCUUUGGAUCCUCUGUCUCCCUCUCUCUGUCUCUGUCUCUGUCUCUAAACAUUCAAAAAGAAACGAAAUAGUGAAACAAAGUGCUUUUCAGGAGUAAAUUAAAUAAUACUUUGUAUUAUUUUCUAUUCCUUAGUAAGAUUUUGCAUCUGAUUGAUAGUCUCUAAACUUUAAUGACAUUAUAUAAGUAGCUUGGUGUAGAAGUACAAACCAGUAUAAAUGGAGAAAAGGCAAUUUAUCAUUGAAUAGACGUUUGCUAUCUGUAAGUAAAGAUCAACAUACAGAGAGCUAUACAUAUCUAAGCUUCCAACAACAGAUAGGAAUAAAUCCACUCAACAAUCAGAAAAUUCGAAGAUAGCACUCUAUUCACGCUUAGAAAAAAUAUUUAAAAACCAUUAUUUUGAAGUGGAUAGCAAACUAUAUAAUACUAGAACUGGUCCUAAUGUGAGCAUUUGGUAUUAUAUAAUUUCAUCCCCACUAAAAGAUCACUGGUGUAUAGAUAACAAAACUUGUACAUAAAAAUUAAGAAAUAAAACUUAGAUGAAUGCCUGGGUGGCUUGGUCGGUUAGGCGUCCGACUUCAGCUCAGGUUAUGAUCUCACAGUUCAUGGGUUCAAGCCCCACUUCAGGCUCUGUGCUGACAGCUCAGAGCCUGGAGCCUGCUUUGGAUUCUGUGUCUUCCUCUCUCUCUACCCCUCCCUUGCUCGCACUCAGUCUCUGUCUCUGUCUCUCUCUCUUAAAAAUAAACAUUAAAAAAAAAGAAAAGAAAAAACUUAGAAAAAAAUGUGAUAAUAAAUUCAGCACUUCAUGGUCCUUAUAAAUAUCAUCUUGGUCAAAAUUUUGUAUUUAGUUGGGGUGCCUGGGUGGCUCAGUCGGUUGGGCGUCCGACUUUGGCUCAGGACAUGAUCUUGCAGUCUGUGAGUUCAAGCCCCGCAUCGGUCUCUGUGCUGACAGCUCACAGCCUGAAGCCUGCUUUGGAUUCUGUCUCCCUUGCUCUCUGCCCCUCCCCCACUCAUGCUCUGUCUCUCUCUCUCUCUCUC
Molecule: long non-coding RNA, 2048 nt
Organism: Neofelis nebulosa (Clouded leopard)
Lineage: Eukaryota; Metazoa; Chordata; Mammalia; Carnivora; Felidae
Exons: 2
Source: RefSeq, a predicted model, not a curated record